This 468-nucleotide ribosomal RNA is filed under the name uncultured bacterium. Its description in RNAcentral is "partial 16S ribosomal RNA". It matches the Rfam family "Bacterial small subunit ribosomal RNA", at positions 28 to 507 of the family's 1533-position model. The record is from RNAcentral.
GACGAACGCUGGCGGCGUGCUUAACACAUGCGAGUCGAACGGAAAGGCCCUGCUUUUGUGGGGUGCUCGAGUGGCGAACGGGUGAGUAACACGUGAGUAACCUGCCCUUGACUUUGGGAUAACUUCAGGAAACUGGGGCUAAAACCGGAUAGGAGCUCCUGCUGCAUGGUGGGGGUUGGAAAGUUUCGGCGGUUGGGGAUGGACUCGCGGCUUAUCAGCUUGUUGGUGGGGUAGUGGCUUACCAAGGCUUUGACGGGUAGCCGGCCUGAGAGGGUGACCGGCCACAUUGGGACUGAGAUACGGCCCAGACUCCUACGGGAGGCAGCAGUGGGGAAUAUUGCACAAUGGGCGGAAGCCUGAUGCAGCAACGCCGCGUGCGGGAUGACGGCCUUCGGGUUGUAAACCGCUUUCGCCUGUGACGAAGCGUGAGUGACGGUAAUGGGUAAAGAAGCACCGGCUAACUACGUG